AGAGUUUGAUCCUGGCUCAGAUUGAACGCUGGCGGCAUGCCUUACACAUGCAAGUCGAACGGCAGCGGACCUUCGGGUGCCGGCGAGUGGCGAACGGGUGAGUAAUGUAUCGGAACGUACCUUUCAGUGGGGGAUAACGUAGCGAAAGUUACGCUAAUACCGCAUAUUCUGUGAGCAGGAAAGCAGGGGAUCGCAAGACCUUGCGCUGAUUGAGCGGCCGAUAUCAGAUUAGCUAGUUGGUGAGGUAAAGGCUCACCAAGGCGACGAUCUGUAGCGGGUCUGAGAGGAUGAUCCGCCACACUGGAACUGAGACACGGUCCAGACUCCUACGGGAGGCAGCAGUGGGGAAUUUUGGACAAUGGGGGCAACCC
This 371-nucleotide ribosomal RNA is filed under the name uncultured bacterium. RNAcentral's name for it is "bacterial SSU rRNA". It matches the Rfam family "Bacterial small subunit ribosomal RNA", at positions 8 to 383 of the family's 1533-position model. The record is from RNAcentral.